Molecule: long non-coding RNA, 2316 nt
Organism: Bubalus bubalis (water buffalo)
Lineage: Eukaryota; Metazoa; Chordata; Mammalia; Artiodactyla; Bovidae
Exons: 3
Source: RefSeq, a predicted model, not a curated record
GUGAGGUGGGUGAGCGGGGUUGCUGCAGAAGGUGAGUGAGUUCCUAUCUGGUAACUUGCUGUUCCCUCUGAAUCAGGAGGCAAGGCCAUCUGCUGGGAGUCAGGGAAGAGAGAAAAUGAACAUGAGAGAUGAGGAGAGAACAAAGAAUGCUGAUACCACUGAGUGAUGAGUGGGGAAAUGUGCUCAUUGGAGAAACCCUGGAGGAUUGCCUGGCAGUGGCAGCAUGAUGGACAUUAAUUUGUAGGCUUUGAAAUCUGUGCUGAGAGCGCUGUUGCUGCCAACUUUCAGCUGCUGCCUGCGGGCCCAGAACAAGCAGAGCUGGGUGAACUGUGAUGAAACUUUGCCUGGUAGGGAACUGAAAAGACGGAAGGUCAAGGGAGUUUGGUUUGUUAUGAAAAGAGUGUUGACAUGAGGGACUGUGGACAGAGUUGGAACACGGGGAAGUGAAGGUGAGAGGAAUGUGGACAGGGAAGAAAGCAGAGGGGUCAGCGACUGAUGGCCCUGGUGACACUGAAGGAGGGCCAGUGGAGGCCCGUGGACAAGCAGCUGGAUGGCUAGAGAUGAAGAAAUGGAGGCACAGAGGUGACGCAACUUGCCCAGAUUCAUGUUGCUCCUAAAUGCUGGCCUGUGUUGGGUGUGUCAAGUGACGAGAUGCAGAGCCUGUGGUCUCAAUGAAAAAAAGAGAAGACAACAUGUCCCAGCCCCAAAGAUUGUGUCAUCCUGAAAGGGUAAAACCGGCGUUCUUGCUCUUCCACGGCAAGAAGGAAACCCGUGAACCUGCGCUCCUGUUUCUGUGUCACUGUGGGCCCCGUCGGGUCAUUGUGGUGACUGGAGGGGGUGGGCAUUGGGUGCAGGCAGGCCCCCCGGGCUGGACAAAGUCCAGCCUUCUGGGAGUGUUGUGGUCACCUGCCUUCUCUAACCUCUCAGCCGAAGCUCAUACCCUGGACACAGGGGAUGCAGAGGCGUGGGAAGCAGAAGGAAUGUCCAUCCUGUUGGAUGCGGAUGAGUGUUUCUAUCCCCUGAAGGCCCACCUUGACCUCUAAACUUUGAGUGGAGGGUGGAAAUUCAGGAAGUGUGAUGGGGAUUCCAGGAAGGACACAUUCUCAAAUAUCUCCUCUAUGGUCUUUCACUGAAUUUGAAGUUCUGUCUCUGUUUUUACUGAUGUCAUUAAUUUAUCUGUCAAAAGAAUCUUUGAUUUUUAAGAGCCUCUUUUACAAUGCAAACUCACCUGUAAGGGGUGAUAUUAAAAUAUUCCUAUCAGCGAGCUGAAUGAGCUGACUUUAUGGGGCAGGGGGCUGGGUGGAGUCAGGCUGUCCAGCCCUGAUAGAGGGGCAGCCUUAUGACCUAGCAAUAAGUCUGCUAGGCCAGGGAUAGUAUAUCUGUUUUCUGUGCUGUUAUAUAUUGAACAUACCCUGCAGAGGGGUGUUCAAAUUGUAACCCUAGCUACCUUGGAAUAUUUGGAAAUAGGUUCAUUGCAGAUGAAGCUAUACUCCAUAUUGGAGUUGGGUGGUCCUUUAAUCAAAUAGGAUUGGUGUCCUUUUAAAAAGAAGAUGUGAAGAUAAAAAGGGGAGAAUGCCAUAUGAGGACAUGAAGACCCCCAGACACAGAGAGAAGAUAGCCAUGUGAAGGCAGAGGCAGAGAUUGGAGUCAAGCUGAGAAACUGCUGGGGCUACCAGCAGAAGCUGGAAGGGGUAAGGAAGGAUUCUCCCUAAAGCCUUUGGGGGGAAUGUGGUCACGACCACACUUUCAUUAUUGUACUUCUAGCCUCUAGAAAUAUGAGAGAAUAAAUGCAUGUUGUUUAAUGUUACCUGGUUCUUGGAACUUAGUUACAGUAGCCCUGAGAAACUAAUACACACACCUGCUUCAGUAUCCGACUCACCAAGUGACCUAACAAAUGUUGGCUCCUCUCAGAGAUUCUGCAAAAUCAGGUAGUUGGACUAGAUAAACUAGGAUCCCUCCAGCUCAAUAGUGUUUAGGGGUUGUUCUGAGGUUAGGAAGACGGUUCAUUUGUUCAGCUAAUUAUCUUUGAGUAUAUUCUGUGCCAAGCAUGGGGUAGCAAGCAGGUCAUUGCUCUCAGGGAGGUAUGUCCUUGUCUCUCAAAGGAAGGAUGAGACUGUUAGAAAGGACUGGACAUGGGCUAAAACCAGGAGCCUGGACCCCUUGAAGUCCCCAGAGCAGGUCCCCAGGAGCUGGGAGGCCACAUUUAGACUUCUGAGCAGGAAAUGCAAAGGGAUAGGGAAAUUCAAGAUUUCCUGAGAGGUCAAAAAGGAAAUAAACUUCAUUACUUCCAAGUAGAUUUUUAAAAACUAUGCAAAC